RNAcentral lists this ribosomal RNA (399 nucleotides) under uncultured soil bacterium. RNAcentral describes it as "bacterial SSU rRNA". It matches the Rfam family "Bacterial small subunit ribosomal RNA", at positions 975 to 1375 of the family's 1533-position model. The record is from RNAcentral.
CAGGUCUUGACAUCCCUCUGAAUACGGUAGAGAUAUCGUAGGCCUUCGGGACAGAGGAGACAGGUGGUGCAUGGUUGUCGUCAGCUCGUGUCGUGAGAUGUUGGGUUAAGUCCCGCAACGAGCGCAACCCUUGUCCUUAGUUGCCAGCAUUCAGUUGGGCACUCUAAGGAGACUGCCGGUGACAAACCGGAGGAAGGUGGGGAUGACGUCAAAUCAUCAUGCCCCUUAUGACCUGGGCUACACACGUGCUACAAUGGAUGGUACAAAGGGCUGCAAGACCGCGAGGUUUAGCCAAUCCCAUAAAACCAUUCUCAGUUCGGAUUGUAGGCUGCAACUCGCCUACAUGAAGCCGGAAUCGCUAGUAAUCGUGGAUCAGCAUGCCACGGUGAAUACGUUCCC